GCGCCCGUGAUGGAACGGCAGACAUGUACGGUUCAGGGCCGUAUGACCGCAAGGUCGUGGAGGUUCAAAUCCUCCCGGGCGCACCA
This 86-nucleotide transfer RNA is filed under the name Parcubacteria group bacterium RIFCSPHIGHO2_01_FULL_40_30. RNAcentral's name for it is "tRNA-Leu". It matches the Rfam family "tRNA". From Rfam's summary of the family: Transfer RNA (tRNA) molecules are approximately 80 nucleotides in length. Their secondary structure includes four short double-helical elements and three loops (D, anti-codon, and T loops). The record is from RNAcentral. RNAcentral also lists the same sequence under 3 other names.